RNAcentral lists this ribosomal RNA (491 nucleotides) under uncultured bacterium. Its description in RNAcentral is "partial 16S ribosomal RNA". It matches the Rfam family "Bacterial small subunit ribosomal RNA", at positions 28 to 507 of the family's 1533-position model. The record is from RNAcentral.
GAUGAACGCUAGCUACAGGCUUAACACAUGCAAGUCGAGGGGAAACGAUGAGAGAGCUUGCUCUCUUAGUCGUCGACCGGCGCACGGGUGAGUAACGCGUAUCCAACCUGCCUCUGACCAAGGGAUAACCCGUCGAAAGUCGGACUAAUACCUUAUGCAGUCGUCGGAAGUCAUCUGAUGACGACGAAAGAUUUCAUCGGUGAGAGAUGGGGAUGCGUCUGAUUAGCUUGUUGGCGGGGUAACGGCCCACCAAGGCGACGAUCAGUAGGGGUUCUGAGAGGAAGGUCCCCGACAUUGGAACUGAGACACGGUCCAAACUGCUACGGGAGGCAGCAGUGAGGAAUAUUGGUCAAUGGGCGUAAGCCUGAACCAGCCAAGUAGCGUGCAGGAGGACGGCGCUAUGGGUUGUAAACUGCUUUUAGGCGGGGAUAAAGUGAGGGACGUGUCCUUCAUUGCAGGUACCGCAUGAAUAAGAACCGGCUAAUUACGUG